This 403-nucleotide ribosomal RNA is filed under the name Fusobacteriota bacterium. RNAcentral's name for it is "Fusobacteria bacterium partial 16S ribosomal RNA". It matches the Rfam family "Bacterial small subunit ribosomal RNA", at positions 355 to 776 of the family's 1533-position model. The record is from RNAcentral. Lineage: Bacteria; Fusobacteriati; Fusobacteriota.
UGGGGAAUCUUGCACAAUGGGGGAAACCCUGAUGCAGCGACGCCGCGUGAGCGAUGAAGGUUUUCGAAUCGUAAAGCUCUGUCCUAUGGGAAGAUAAUGACGGUACCAUGGGAGGAAGCCCCGGCUAACUACGUGCCAGCAGCCGCGGUAAUACGUAGGGGGCGAGCGUUGUCCGGAAUUACUGGGCGUAAAGGGUUCGCAGGCGGCAUGGCAAGUCCGAUGUAAAAGGCGAAGGCUCAACCUUCGUAAGCAUCGGAAACUGUCAAGCUUGAGUGAAGGAGAGGCAAGUGGAAUUCCUAGUGUAGCGGUGGAAUGCGUAGAUAUUAGGAGGAAUACCGGUGGCGAAGGCAACUUGCUGGACUUCAACUGACGCUGAGGAACGAAAGCGUGGGUAGCAAACAGG